CCCACCCUGGCUGGCCUGUACUCAGAUCUUCGCGGAGCGGAUCAGCGGCCGGAGCGUUUGGCGGACUCUGCGUGGACUUGGAGCUCACGGCGUCUUGCGACUUGGAAGCGGAUUCAGAGGACAGGACAGAACACUUGGGGAUCAUGGCACAAGUUGCAGUUUCCACCCUGCCCAUGGAAGAUGAGGAGUCUGUUGAAGAUGAUUCCGUGGAGAGCAGGAUGGUGGUGACAUUUCUCAUAUCAGCUCUCGAGUCCACGGAUCAUGGCACAAGUUGCAGUUUCCACCCUGCCCAUUGAAGAUGAGGAGUCUGUUGAAGAUGAGGAGUCCUUGGAGAGCAGGAUGGUGGUGACAUUCCUGUCAGCUCUCGACUCCAUGGUCAGACCUUCUGUUCUCACAUUCUGUAGUUCAGUAGGACUGGGCGGUAGAUAAGGUUGAUUUGUUUUUGUAGAACUUACAAUUUUGUGAUUUUUAGUUCUAAUGAGUAGACCUUUUUCGUGAAUAGUAGUUACGGUCAAACACCUCUGACCAAAUGUGCAUGUGGAGUUUCUACACUGAUUUU
RNAcentral lists this long non-coding RNA (559 nucleotides) under Homo sapiens (human). RNAcentral's name for it is "HSALNT0319555". The record is from RNAcentral. Lineage: Eukaryota; Metazoa; Chordata; Mammalia; Primates; Hominidae.